GAUGAACGCUAGCUACAGGCUUAACACAUGCAAGUCGAGGGGUAACGAGAGGAAAGCUUGCUUUCCUUGUCGACGACCGGCGCACGGGUGAGUAACGCGUAUCCAACCUGCCCCCAACUAAGGAAUAACCUUGCGAAAGUAAGACUAGUACCUUAUAAUUUCCUCAGAUGUCAUCUGACGAGGAAUAAAGAUUUAUCGGUUGUGGAUGGGGAUGCGUCUGAUUAGCUUGUGGGCGGGGUAACGGCCCACCAAGGCAACGAUCAGUAGGGGUUCUGAGAGGAAGGUCCCCCACAUUGGAACUGAGACACGGUCCAAACUCCUACGGGAGGCAGCAGUGAGGAAUAUUGGUCAAUGGGCGGAAGCCUGAACCAGCCAAGUAGCGUGCAGGAUGACGGCCCUAUGGGUUGUAAACUGCUUUUAUACAGGAAUAAAGUUAGCCACGUGUGGUUAUUUGUAGGUACUGUAUGAAUAAGGACCGGCUAAUUCCGUGCCAGCAGCCGCAGUAA
Molecule: ribosomal RNA, 506 nt
Filed under: uncultured bacterium
Lineage: Bacteria
Description: partial 16S ribosomal RNA
Rfam family: Bacterial small subunit ribosomal RNA
Source: RNAcentral